UAGGGAAUAUUGGACAAUGGGCGCAAGCCUGAUCCAGCCAUCCCGCGUGAAGGAUUAAGGCCCUCUGGGUUGUAAACUUCUUUUCUCUGGGAAUAAAAACCGGCGUUCACGCUGGCUUGAAGGUACCAGAGGAAUAAGCACCGGCUAACUCCGUGCCAGCAGCCGCGGUAAUACGGAGGGUGCAAGCGUUAUCCGGAUUCACUGGGUUUAAAGGGUGCGUAGGUGGCUUUGUAAGUCAGUGGUGAAAUCUUAGAGCUUAACUCUAAAACUGCCAUUGAUACUGCUUAGCUUGAAUCAAGUCGAGGUGGAUGGAAUAUUACAUGUAGCGGUGAAAUGCUUAGAUAUGUAAUAGAACACCGAUUGCGAAGGCAGUUCACUAGGCUUGUAUUGACACUGAGGCACGAAAGCGUGGGGAUCAAACAGGAUUAGAUACCCCCGUAGUCC
Molecule: ribosomal RNA, 444 nt
Filed under: uncultured bacterium
Lineage: Bacteria
Description: bacterial SSU rRNA
Rfam family: Bacterial small subunit ribosomal RNA
Source: RNAcentral